Molecule: transfer RNA, 72 nt
Filed under: Camelus bactrianus (Bactrian camel)
Lineage: Eukaryota; Metazoa; Chordata; Mammalia; Artiodactyla; Camelidae
Also listed under: 2 other names
Rfam family: tRNA
About the family: Transfer RNA (tRNA) molecules are approximately 80 nucleotides in length. Their secondary structure includes four short double-helical elements and three loops (D, anti-codon, and T loops). Further hydrogen bonds mediate the characteristic L-shaped molecular structure. tRNAs have two regions of fundamental functional importance: the anti-codon, which is responsible for specific mRNA codon recognition, and the 3' end, to which the tRNAs corresponding amino acid is attached (by aminoacyl-tRNA synthetases). tRNAs cope with the degeneracy of the genetic code in two manners: having more than one tRNA (with a specific anti-codon) for a particular amino acid; and 'wobble' base-pairing, i.e. permitting non-standard base-pairing at the 3rd anti-codon position.
Source: Rfam by way of RNAcentral
GAGGGUAUAGUUCAGUGGAAGACUGUGUGCUUAGCAUGCACGAGGCCAUGGGUUCGGUCCCCAGUACCUCCG